ACAAUUCUACACUCUCCUCUCUUCUACUUCUAAUUCUCCUCCAUUCUUUAUGUGCUAUUGCUCUUGCUCUAUAAUUCUUUAGCUAUUCUCUUGCUUAUUCAAUUGCUUUACUUUAUUGUUCUUGCUUUACAUUAUAUUACUACUAGUACUACUAUUAAGUACUAAAUACUAUACUAUACUAUAUAUUUCAAUUACACUAUCACUACACUCACUUGCUCCUUUACUUUAUUGUUCUUGCUUUACAUUAUAUUA
This 252-nucleotide long non-coding RNA is filed under the name Salvia miltiorrhiza (redroot sage). Its description in RNAcentral is "long non-coding RNA (SMIL_LNC013496)". The record is from RNAcentral. Lineage: Eukaryota; Viridiplantae; Streptophyta; Magnoliopsida; Lamiales; Lamiaceae.